CAUUAGUACAGAUGCUGCUCCUGGUAUUCAUUACAUUUUCUCUCCUAAAAGAGACUGCUGGUGAAGAUGUCAUAAAACCAGUCUUCACAGAGAAGCAUGUUUUGGCAGGAAAAGAUGUUACACUGAUCUGCAACUACACUGGAAGUGUGCAGAAUUUACAGUGGUACCGUCAGUAUCCCGGAACCAAACCUGAGCACAUCAUUUUAUACAUUGAAACCAUCCCCAAAUCAGAGCCCGCUCUCCGUCUGACCGCUGCAGCUGAUAAAGCAGCCAAAAGUAUGAAUCUGACGAUCUCUUCUACAGAAGUGAAAGACUCUGCCGUGUACUACUGUGCCCUGCAGCCCACAGUGACAGGAAACACAACUACACUGUACAAAAACAGAGUGAGAAAGGAUAUUUAA
This is a non-coding RNA of Sinocyclocheilus grahami, 401 nucleotides long. Lineage: Eukaryota; Metazoa; Chordata; Actinopteri; Cypriniformes; Cyprinidae. The record is from the annotation of a RefSeq genome assembly.